Molecule: long non-coding RNA, 2749 nt
Filed under: Oncorhynchus mykiss (rainbow trout)
Lineage: Eukaryota; Metazoa; Chordata; Actinopteri; Salmoniformes; Salmonidae
Description: lncRNA (ENSOMYG00000059603.1)
Source: RNAcentral
AUGCGGUUGAGAGGUUGCCCAAGCCACAAUAAGUUUGCAAGACUGCUCUCAGCCAACAUUGAAAUGCGUAUCGCAAGCAGUCUAGGAUCGCUAUUCAAGGAAAAUGGAGGGCAGUUCCAAACAGGCUCUAGCACUUGCAUGCUCCAGAAGAGGCUUGCUUCCCACGUUCUGCCCUGUGUGAAGAAGAGAUGGCGAACUCCUACAGAAAGUGGGAUGGAAGAUGGAUACAUUCUGUUGCAAGGCUCCAACCCCCUUGAUAUUUGGUCCAGCUGCCUGAUGGCAAUCUACUUGGCGGUCUUGCUGCCGUUGUGGCAAUGCGAAUGUUUGACUGGGUUUGCAAUGUUGAGGUGCCGAGACAACAGAUGACACCAGGAUUACUUGAGGACAUUGACAGGACUUGAGGAUGAUGCCGAUGCUUGUUGAAGAGCUUCCGUCGUGAAAAGAGCUGUUCGCCAAGGAGGCAUUCCAUUGUGUGGACUGUGUAUCCAUGGCUGUAUUUUGUGCCAAUGGCAAAUUAACUUUGAUUUGAUCUCCUAAAGGCGCCAAGAGUCAAGUCAUGUAGGUGGUAUUCCUCUUGACGUUGUCCUUGGACUCCCUUCUACUACAGUCCCCCCCCCCCCCCCCCCCCCUAAGUAAAGUACUUUGACAACUGCUGAUGUAAAAACAAAAAGUUUCUGAUAAUAAACUUUUAAAUUGCCACCAAUAAAAAGUAAUUUGAUUGCAGCAUUUGAAUAAAGAAUGAACGGUCAUCCUUGCACUAUUUUGUGAGGGCAUAUAUUUUACGGGGGGGGGGGGGGGGGGGGGGGACGACGAAGACGACAUGUACAAAGGAAUGCAUACAGAGAUUUCCACCCUCAGUUCCCAUCUGCCUACAUCCCGUUUCCUUCAUAUGUGGGAUCUGCAGUUAAGUGUCUGGGGUGAAGUUACUAAACUUGUUUUGGCGUGCAUGGAAUUACAUGCUUUGCGUCUCUUAGUGAUCGUUGCUUGAAUCUCAUGAUUAGUGCUGGCAGGCAGCAAUGCUGUGAUUUCAUUUUUGUUGUAGCAACCACCUACGUUUAAACGAGUCGAUACAGUUCAUAUUAGACGUUAUAACGGACUUAUCAACAGCGAGAAUGGACGGUACUAGUCAAGUAACAAAUGUGCCCGACUGGUGGUCUCGAAAGUGACCUUAUCAAUAUGCAACCCGUUUUAUAUUUUAAUUUAACGGUUGCUUUCUAAGUGGUUUUGAGGUCAACGUCUGAGCGUUUCACAUAGACACUGCAGCUAUAUGGAACAUGUGUAUUAGGUUCCUGAAUAGCCCUUACUAUAGACUGGUUUUCACACGAUAUUUAAGGAAUAGCCCAUACUAUAGACUGGUUUUCACACAAGAUAUUAAUGGAAUAACCCAUACUAUAGACUGGUUUUCACACGAUAUUUAAGGAAUAGCCCUUACUAUAGACUGGUUUUCACACAAGGUACAGUAGACACCAUUAUUUAAGCGGAGGAUAUAAUGUGCUCGGACUAAACCAUAUUGAAACAGAUGAGCAAUUAACUUGGCCCGUGUCUUUUGUUCCUGUCAUCUCGGAAAUACGUGAACUGUUUCCGGUUUCAGGUGCGUUCUAUUGUAACUAGCUAGGUUUGCACAUAACCAGUAUGCGACUUUUCCCCGUUUCGACGUUAAAGGUUUCCUAGACACUUAGCUAAUGUCAUAUGAACACCUGUAAACUGUCCCAGUCGAUUUGUUGGAUGAUUCCACGACGUUAAGAUACACAUUUGAAUUGUCAAGCGAACGAAAGCCUUUUAUACGUGGUCUUUGCUAACUAGCCUAGCCUCAAACUGUCUAAAAGAGACCAAGGUGAGUGUCGCUUUUUCAACUCACGACUUGAUUUGUGACAACUGAAUAACUUGAUUUAACAAGACUAGUUGUCAAACUUUUGCCAUAAUUUUUUUUUUGUGUGUGUGCAAACAUAACUAUACCAGGCUAAUGUCAGAAAAAGUAGCAAGUUAUAGUAGUUAGUUGGUUAGCGGUGAAUUUGUGAACUAAUUUAGCUAACUAAUUAUCUUAGGAAGAGCUAUAACUUAUAAUUUAUCGACUCAUAUUGUAAUGUUUCCCCUCCCCAGACCAAGAAGUGGAAAAGAGACUACACACAGUUAAAUUUGAAGAUGAAAUAUUUGUUCUGCUUUUCGUUAGGCUGAGGAACUCCAGAAAAACAUUCGUUGUCAAGAGUUGGAAGAUUUGCUUGUUGCAUUCCUCGACUAAACAAUAGUCUUUACCCUGCAAUGUUAGCUGCCCAUGUACUUUUAGAAAGAACCGUAACAUAUUAUACAUACUUGGCUAAGUAUAUUUCUGUAGACUAGGCCUACUAAACUAGCCAUUAGCUAAUGUCCGUAAUUCGUCCGGAUAUUAGGGAUUCUAAACUAUUUCUAUCACUUCAAAACCAAAGGUAAUCUUUUGGUAUGGUUUAUUUGUUUGACGUUAGUGUUAUAAGAGUAAAAGUAGGUGAAGAAAGGUGAAAGUCUUGGGGACGACAUGUAGCUAGUGAGUACCCUCAUUGGAAUUUUCCCUUGGGCGUUGGUGGUUGGUUUCGAUUUAACACUAUUAGGUGUGUCAUGUGACUCGUCCUGUGGUACACACUUUCCCUCAUCAUUCCCAGUGAUCUCACGGCAAGGAGAGUUAAUUUGACUUAUCUAAUGUACUAUAGCUAGGCUAUAGUCUAACAAACCCUCCUACAAAAUCUUAAAACGGAAAUAAAUAGACAGAAUUAAGGGC